GAUGAACGCUAGCGCUAGGCUUAACACAUGCAAGUCGAGGGGCAGCAUGGUCUUAGCUUGCUAAGACUGAUGGCGACCGGCGCACGGGCGCGUAACGCGUAUGCAACUUGCCUCACAGAGGGGGAUAACCCGUCGAAAGACGGACUAAUACCGCGUACACUUGGGAUAGGGCAUCCUGACCCAAGGAAAUGAAAUUCGCUGUGAGAUAGGCAUGCGUCCCAUUAGCUAGUUGGUGAGGUAACGGCUCACCAAGGCGACGAUGGGUAGGGGAACUGAGAGGUUGAACCCCCACACUGGUACUGAGACACGGACCAGACUCCUACGGGAGGCAGCAGUGAGGAAUAUUGGUCAAUGGGCGAGAGCCUGAACCAGCCAAGUCGCGUGAAGGAUGACUGUCUUAUGGAUUGUAAACUUCUUUUAUACGGGAAUAACAAGAGUCACGUGUGGCUCCCUGCAUGUACCGUAUGAAUAAGCAUCGGCUAACUCCGUG
Molecule: ribosomal RNA, 490 nt
Filed under: uncultured bacterium
Lineage: Bacteria
Description: partial 16S ribosomal RNA
Rfam family: Bacterial small subunit ribosomal RNA
Source: RNAcentral